AGAUGGCGACCGGCGCACGGGUGAGUAACACGUAUCCAACCUGCCGAUAACUCGGGGAUAGCCUUUCGAAAGAAAGAUUAAUACCCGAUGGUAUAAUCAGACCGCAUGGUUUGAUUAUUAAAGAAUUUCGGUUAUCGAUGGGGAUGCGUUCCAUUAGGCAGUUGGUGAGGUAACGGCUCACCAAACCUUCGAUGGAUAGGGGUUCUGAGAGGAAGGUCCCCCACAUUGGACUGAGACACGGCCAA
Molecule: ribosomal RNA, 245 nt
Filed under: uncultured bacterium
Lineage: Bacteria
Description: partial 16S ribosomal RNA
Rfam family: Bacterial small subunit ribosomal RNA
Source: RNAcentral